RNAcentral lists this unclassified non-coding RNA (387 nucleotides) under Bacillus sp. (in: firmicutes). Its description in RNAcentral is "Bacillus sp. (in: Bacteria) contains 16S-23S intergenic spacer region". The record is from RNAcentral. Lineage: Bacteria; Bacillati; Bacillota; Bacilli; Caryophanales; Bacillaceae.
UCUCGGCUUAUCACCGGCAGUCCCCCGAGAGUCCUCAGCAGUUUGCACCCUGUUAGCAACACGGGGCGGGGGUUGCGCUCGUUGCGGGACUUAACCCAACAUCUCACGACACGAGCUGACGACAACCAUGCACCACCUGUCACUCUGUCCCCCGAAGGGGAACGUCCUAUCUCUAGGAGUGUCAGAGGAUGUCAAGACCUGGUAAGGUUCUUCGCGUUGCUUCGAAUUAAACCACAUGCUCCACCGCUUGUGCGGGCCCCCGUCAAUUCCUUUGAGUUUCAGCCUUGCGGCCGUACUCCCCAGGCGGAGUGCUUAAUGCGUUAGCUGCAGCACUAAAGGGCGGAAACCCUCUAACACUUAGCACUCAUCGUUUACGGCGUGGACUAC